GAAGGGAGAUGAUCUGUGUGAUGGAAUACUGGUAGGGGACUAGCAUGCUAUUUUAAAAUUUUUAUGUAGCAAAAAAUUUAGAUUAAACCUUUUAAUCUAUUAUGCAUGCUUUAGAUCACAUCUAAAUCCCUAUCCUAGGAUCUAUAAUAUAACAUAUAGCAUGCAUAAGAUUUGAAAAUAGAAAUCUGUAUGUAUGAUCACAUUGUACAUGCAUUUGUAGAUCUGAUCUACAUACAUAUGAAGUUCAGAACUUGAUACCUGAGCAUGGAUAGAAGGACUCCGCGUCUGAAUCAUAAGGACUCAAAGAUGCUCGCAACUGCACAGCGUGUCCAGCCUCUAUGGUUGGUCCACUCGAAGUCCUGCAUUGAUCGGUUCCUACAGGAGUGCUAACUCGUGAUGAAACUACC
This 407-nucleotide long non-coding RNA is filed under the name Elaeis guineensis (African oil palm). RNAcentral's name for it is "long non-coding RNA (EGUI_LNC053523)". The record is from RNAcentral. Lineage: Eukaryota; Viridiplantae; Streptophyta; Magnoliopsida; Arecales; Arecaceae.